This 403-nucleotide ribosomal RNA is filed under the name uncultured bacterium. RNAcentral's name for it is "bacterial SSU rRNA". It matches the Rfam family "Bacterial small subunit ribosomal RNA", at positions 355 to 775 of the family's 1533-position model. The record is from RNAcentral.
UGGGGAAUAUUGGACAAUGGGGGAAACCCUGAUCCAGCAAUGCCGCGUGAGUGAGGAAGGCCUUAGGGUUGUAAAGCUCUUUCGCGCGCGACGAUGAUGACGGUAGCGCGAGAAGAAGCCCCGGCUAACUUCGUGCCAGCAGCCGCGGUAAUACGAAGGGGGCGAGCGUUGUUCGGAUUUACUGGGCGUAAAGGGCGCGUAGGCGGCCAUCUUUGUCAGGCGUGAAAGCCCCGGGCUCAACCUGGGAACUGCGUCUGGGACGGGGUGGCUAGAGAUCGGGAGAGGAGCGUGGAAUUCCCAGUGUAGAGGUGAAAUUCGUAGAUAUUGGGAAGAACACCGGUGGCGAAGGCGGCGCUCUGGACCGAGACUGACGCUGAGGCGCGAAAGCGUGGGGAGCAAACAG